CACAAAAUCUCUCAACCUCAACCAAUGCCGCUGCCGCCGCCUCCAGCAUUUGGGGAUCAGAUCAAUGCACUGGCUUUGAGUUGGAACUAAUCAAGCCAUCAACACAUGUGUCACACUGCAAUUGCUUGCUGCUUCUCUGGUCUUCUUUCUGUUGAGAGGUUUUCUGGAUAUUGAGCCCCAAAAAAGCUUUUGCGGAUUUCAGCCCUUGCUGCGUUCCAACAUUUGGAGAUGGAGUAGGCGAAAGCAGCUGAUCAACCAGAUACAUAUGCACUAUUGCUCUGAUCUAAAACACAGUUGACACGAUCCGUUCCAGCUCGUCUUUUUACCUUGGCCCCUGGUUUGUUUCUUCGGUAACCAACUCGAAUCUUGUUCUCGGUCUCCUUGCAGUGAGUGCUCAGUCACGUUCACGAAAAAACGAGUGCCAGCGCCGCACACGCUCAAGGACUUCACUGGGAACAAGUUAGUAACCACAAGUGACGUUGCUGCCCCUCUGUAGAGAAGAGGCUCAAAACGAGAACCUCUGCAGUAUGAGUGGAGUGGAGGCUGCUUUAGCGGCUGGAGUGUUGAAGACUGCUGGUGGCAAGCUAGUUUCACUGAUAUCCAGUGAGUUUACUUCCAUAACAGGUGUCAAGAAAGACCUCUGUGAGCUCCAGGGAAAACAUCAGGAGAUAAGUAGCUGGCUGGCUGUAGUUCGUGACAGAGCAUUAGGGAGUGGCACACAGCUUCCAUGGGUGAACGAAUUGAGAAAUGUUGCCUAUGAUAUUGAAGAUUUACUCUAUGGAGUCCACCUUGAAGCUGAGAAAGACAAUAUACAAAGCGACGGUGACAAGCAACCAAUAGCAGACUACUUCUGUGCAAAACCAAAAUCAUUACUGUUCAGAUGCAAGGUGGCUAGUAAGAUCAAGGCAAUCAAGGUGAAAUAUGAGAAGAUUGUGAAGCAUGCAAGGGAUGCCAACAUUAUAAGGAACAAUUUACAAAUGGAUCAUCCUGCUCGGAGCAGCUACACCAGGACUGCUGGAGAGCCCUCCAUGCUAUCAAAUGUUGAAGACUCCAAAAUACCAAGAAGAGAUCAGGAGAAGGAUGAAAUUGUAAGUAAGAUUUUAGAACCUAAUGAAGGGGAGGAUGGCAGAACGGUAGUAUCUAUUGUUGGAUUAGGUGGGUCUGGCAAAACUACUUUGGCCAAACAAAUCUGCCAUGACAAGAAGAUAAUGGAGAACUUCAAAGAUAUGAUAUUCUGGGUCUAUGUGUCUCAAGAAUUUGAUGGAAACAAGCUUAUUGGCAAGCUAUUUGAAGCUAUCAUUGAGGAAAAAUCUGAUCUUCAUGUUCAACAGAAAAUGCUCCGUGAAAUUUCAAACAAGUUAAGUGGUAAGAAGUUUCUUCUUGUCCUGGAUGAUGCAUGGCAUCAGAACAAGCAUGACUGGGAACACCUCAUGGUGCACCUAAAGAGUGGUGCAGUUGGAAGCAAGAUUUUGCUCACUACUCGUGAUAGGAAGGUUGCAGAAAUUGUGAAAUCAAGGCAUAUAUUCAAGCUAGGGAUGUUAUCAGAGGCUGAGAGUUGGAGCUUGUUCCUAAAGAGCUCUGGGUGGGUAGAGGAGGAUUUAGGCUCUGAGUAUAUAGAAGUUGGAAAAGUGAUCCUGAACAGAUGUAGUGGGGUGCCUCUAGCAAUCAGAACACUUGGAGGUAUCCUCUAUGAAAACAAGGAAAUAAGUAUAUGGAAAGCCAUAGGACAGAGUGAUUUAUGGACGGAUGAGAGUAUAGAAGACAGAGUGUUCGCUUCUUUGAAAUUGAGCUUCAUUCACCUGCCAGAUGAACUAAAGCAGUGCUUCACACUUUGCUCUAUAUUCCCAAAGGGCACAAAAAUCUACAAAGAUCGCUUGAUUUCCCAAUGGGUAGCCCAUGGAUUCAUCAAUUCAAUGAAUGGAAAGCAGCCAGAAGAUAUGGGAAGUGGCUACGUUGAUUCUCUUGUAAAAGUUGGCUUUCUUCAGGAUCCUUCUGAGGAUCAGAGUACUAAACAACUAGUAUGCAAGAUGCAUGAUUUGAUUCAUGAUCUCACUCGACACAUACUGCAGGACGAAGUGGUGACUUGUAUACCGAAUAAUAUGAUAGCAAACCGCAAUCAGAGGUGCAGAUACUUAUCAUUAACUUCAUGUCCAGAGAAGGUUCAUAAGAAUUCAUUUCACAAGGCCCAUGCUCUCUUUAUCUCCAGAGGUAAUCCAAUAUUUGAUAAACCAGUUAUGAAGAGCUCCAGUGUCCGCAGUGUUGUUCUGGACUACACAGAAAACACUCCAUUUCCUCAAUUCACACUGAAGUUUGAAUAUAUCGGAUAUCUUGAAAUCCAUAAUCUUGGUUGCACGAAAUUUCUAGAAGCCAUCUCAAGUUGUUUGAAUUUGCAGUCACUUCAUUUAAUCAAGUGCAAAGGUCUUGUUGCAUUACCAGAAUCUAUUGGCAAGCUUAAGAAGCUCCGAAUUCUAGAGUUGAAUUUUGCUUAUGAUCUUGACAGUUUACCUCAGUCAAUUGGUGAUUGCCGACACCUUCAAUCCUUGAUUCUGUAUCGUUGUGGAAAAUUCAGAGAGAUGCCAGGCACCAUAUGUAAAAUUAAAAACCUGAGGGGCCUUCAUAUAUCUUCGUGUUCAUUUCUGAAACUGAAACAAUUUCCAUCAGAAUUCGCCGGGGUGUUCAGCAACUUGCAGACAAUCAACUUAGCUAAUUCUAUAGAGUUUCAGGGGCUGCCAAGCACAUUGUCAUGUCCACUAUUGUGUACACUUGAUCUUUCUAAAACCAAAGUUACCAUGCUACCUCCAUGGAUUACUACAAUUGAUACUCUAGAGUGUAUAAACCUUGAACAGUGCUCUGAGCUAGUGGAGCUGCCUAAAGGUAUAGGUAACUUGAAAAGACUUGCAGUUUUGAACAUAAAGGGUUGCACCAAACUGCGUUGCAUGCCGUCAGGUAUUGGACAGCUGACCCGUUUAACACAGCUGGCCUUGUUUGUUGUCGGGUGUGAUAGAGAUGAUGCGAGAAUCUCGGAGCUUGAAAAUCUUGAUAUAAGUGGUGAAUUGGAAAUUAGAAACCUUAAGUACGUGAAGGAUCCUUGUGAUACUGAGAAGGCUUGCUUGAAACAAAAGAAUGGCAUAAAGAAUCUGGUUUUGGACUGGUCUUUGAGUGAAGGAGAAGAAGAGUUAGCUUCAGAUGUGGAACAAGAGCAGGGUGUGCUGAGUGGUCUUGAACCACCAUCGCAAAUUGAGAGCUUGGUAAUUUGUCGUUACCAAGGUCCUUGUUUGCCACGGUGGUUGAUGGAGCAGAAUGGUUCUUCUUACUCUGAAGGCACUACGUUAAAGCAAACUGGUCCUUGUCAGUACCCGUCUUUAACCUAUCUGACACUAUCUCGUUCUCCCAACUUGAAGCAUAUGCGAGGACUUAUGAGAUUUCCUUCGCUGAAGUCCCUCGAACUAUGGGAAAUGGCUAGUUUAGAGGACCUGUGGACUACGGCAAGCGGUACAGAAAUUCAGGAGGAGGAAUUAAGUGCAGAAUAUUGCUUUCCAAUCCUAUCCAACCUAGACAUACGGGACUGCCCGAAAUUGAGUACUGUGAAGCCAUACUUGCCACCAUGGCUGGAGUGGCUGUGUUUGCGUGAAAGCAACUUGCAGCUGUUAUCCCCAAAUAACUUCUCUCGUCUGCUUCCAAUGAAUCCUCAUCGUCCAGCAGCCUGCAAUCAUCAUCUGAGUGGCUGGGAGAACUGUGCUCCUUACGAUAUUUGAAAAUCUGGUGUGACAAUCUGAAGAUGCUGCCUGACGCAAUUCAGCACCUCACCUCCCUUGAAUCUCUCAAAUUGAUAUGUUGCCGUGCGCUGGUCGAGCUGCCAGAGGGCAUCGGGCAACUAUAUGCGCUUCGGCAGCUUGGCAUCGAUCGUUGCUCUGCCCUAGAGCGCCUGCCCCAGUCCAUACAACACUUACCUGAUCUCCAGAGUUUGGUUAUUGACGACUGCCCUGCUUUGGCGAGUCGUUACAAGGAAGGAGUGGGGCCGGACUGGCACCUUGUCUCACACAUCCCUCACGUGUGGAUAGAUCCAGAGGAGGAUUAGGAGGCUGGCGGCCUAGCGUCUUGCCUCCCAAGACAUGCAUGCGCGCGAACGCGGCAGCACCAAACUCCGUGGGUUUGGCGGGGCGUUACAAGCAAGGAGUGGGGCACCUUUGUCUCCCUCAUCCCUCGUGACUCAUGCGACGAUAUAAACAUUAACUGGACUAUAGGAUUCCCAAUGGCCCAGCGCCUUGCCUU
RNA transcript from Panicum virgatum (switchgrass), 4272 nucleotides. It is a transcript of the gene named disease resistance protein RGA2-like, with no coding region annotated. Lineage: Eukaryota; Viridiplantae; Streptophyta; Magnoliopsida; Poales; Poaceae. The transcript has 5 exons. The record is from RefSeq and is a predicted model, not a curated record.